CGCCUUCUCUCCCACCUAAGUGCRUGCUACCACCCCAUGGAAGAUUCGAUGGAUAUGGACAUGAGCCCCCUGAGGCCCCAGAACUACCUUUUCGGUUGUGAGCUAAAAGCUGACAAAGAUUAUCACUGUAAGGUGGAUAAUGAUGAAAAUGAGCACCAGUUAUCAUUAAGAACGGUCAGUUUAGGGGCUGGUGCAAAGGAUGAAUUGCAUAUUGUUGAAGCAGAGGCAAUGAAUUAUGAAGGCAGUCCAAUUAAAGUAACACUGGCAACAUUGAAAAUGUCAGUACAGCCAACGGUUUCCCUUGGGGGCUUUGAAAUCACACCACCUGUGGUCUUAAGGUUGAAGUGCGGUUCAGGGCCUGUGCAUAUUAGUGGCCAGCACUUAGUAGCUGUGGAGGAAGAUGCAGAGUCAGAAGAU
Molecule: non-coding RNA, 417 nt
Organism: Urocitellus parryii (Arctic ground squirrel)
Lineage: Eukaryota; Metazoa; Chordata; Mammalia; Rodentia; Sciuridae
Source: RefSeq, a predicted model, not a curated record